UUUGUCCUGAAAUAAUGAAGAGAUUUUCAAUGAGUCCCUUGGCCAAGCCGUCUCUAUUGUACAUUGCAUUGAUAAAAAGGAUGUUAUUGACUAUGCAACAGUAGGCUCCUUUCCUCCCUCUCCUUCUUUCCAAAUAAACUCUCGGUCCUGUCUCUUGGUCAGUGAAAAGGUGAAACGAAUAAGAUUAAAUCAGACAAAAAAGCGAGCUCCGUAUGUAUAUCAUCCAGAUUUUACUCCCCAGACUGUGAAGAGACAGGGAGUAAAAGAGGCAGAGCAAGACACACAGAGAGAGGGAGAGGGAGACGCAGAGAGAGAGAGAGAGACAGACAGAGGCACAGACAGGAGACAGCCUGGGAGAAGCUGGACCGACCGAGCCGCCGCCGAGGUCUCCGCGCAGCGCGCACGGCCGCCGCUGGGCCGGCCCGGCCGAGCCCACCCCAGCACUACAGGCAACGCUGUACUGCAGCAUCACACCCUGCUUUGGAAUGCUGUUCCCUCAAGACUUCCAUGGCACAGAGCGACGGAUUAUUACAUGGAUCUCAAGACCAACAUGCCUUAAAACUGACAAAGGGAAGCAGUCUGCAGCCUCCAGCACCUCCCAUCUCACCCAGUCUGCAACACCAGUAACAGGCACAAAGGGCUGUCAGACUCAGCUGAAAAGCAUCUAGACCUUCAUCCACAGGAAGUCUGCUUGCCUGUCAAAACGAUGUGGAAAUGUGCCGGCAUUCCAGCUGAAGACAUCAUUAUGAGUGAGAAAAUGCUCAAGGCUUUUUCAAAGUGGGUGCUGAAACAUACAUUUCUCUUCUCUGACUCCAGGGGAUGCUACCAGCUGCCCCAGUGGACAGGUAUCGUGAGGUCAAAGGCUAGCGGUGCCCUGCACCUUUACGAUUUGACUGUGAGCAAAGUAGAUAGGUAGUUUCUCAAAACUAAUAAUAAAAAUAGCAACAAUGAUGAGAAGAAGAAGAAGCUGACAACAAAAAUGAAAAGGAACCUGCAAGAAGUGAAUUCUGGGUAGCACAACACUUGGCAGAGCUGAUUUUAAUAUCUGACAGGUUGAGUUCACUAAUCUUUGCUAUUCACAUUGACGUGAAACUUCAUACGGUUUUAGAGAUUUGUAUCUAUUAAGACAUGCAGCAGUGUUCCUACAACAUGAGAACAAGUUUGUUAGCGCCUACCAUUCUUCUUCAGUGAUAAAAAUUGAUAUGAACUGUUUUAAAUGCCUGGCAGAUAAUUACUCUGAACACUCAAUAAGGAAAGCUACACCUUUAGAGCCUGCUUUAUCUUUAAAAAAAAGAAACCCAAAACACCAACAAGAAAAAACAACAUUCUUCUCCUCCUCUGCCCCCCACUCCCCUCCCCUUUGGUUCUUUGAUUACUUGGAGCCUUGUAAUCAAACUAAGCUUAGUUUCAGGACCCUUGGGGCAGUAUCUCUUAGUUCCCUGUCAGGCUGCGUUGCAAAACAAUCAAUCUUGCUCUUGCACUCACUUGGCGGAAGUGCCACGACACGAAGAGUGCAAUGCUUUGCUCUUGCUGUGAAGCUUCGAUGACAAAAGUUUUUAUCAGAAGCCGACUGUAUUUAGGGUUAUGAAUAUGCAAUGACUCUCAUUAGUAUUGAAGCACAGGAGCAUGGGCUGACAUCCCCCGCCACUUUUAGCUGCUGCAAAAUCGUCUAAUGAAUUGUCUUGCUCUUUCACUCACACAGGCUUUUCUGUUAUGGCUCCCAGUUCCAAGGGGAGUUGCCCAGUUUGAGAAUACUAUUGACUGCAGAAAUUAAUUGCCAAGAACUGCUCUUGAUUUUGUUAAACAAUGUUGAGACAGUGUUUAAAUUGUCAAAACAGAAAACCAUUAAACUCUACAGGAGAUGAAAUCAUCACGAGUGAAAAGAACCUGUAUGUCUAUAUACCACGCGUAACAAUUCACAGGCACAUAGGGGUACUGUAGAUAUGCAUAUAGCCUUCUAAUCAUACAUACACAUAUGGACAAAUAUACAUGUACAUAUCAGUGAAAUCAGGUCUCAGAAAUCUGACUUUCUGUUGAUUUAUCUAUUAUUCUUCCAACUAGAACAAACAGGGACAACAGAAAGUUCUCCAAAUGAACAGGACUCCAGUACAAUGCUAUUUGAUCAACCCUUUAAUAUUCUUUCUUUUUCCUCUGGGACCCUGCCAAACAUUUUGCAGUUCACACAUCUGCAAUCUUUCAUGAAUAAGUUACUGAUGAGGAUGUUUCCAACAAAUGAUUAAGGUAUCUGGCUUGAUUUGUAGUACUUGAGGAGAUGUGAAAGCAUUCAGAAAGAAGUGGAAAUGACCCUUUUUCCCAAAUGGUUAAAUUAAGUAUUUUUUUUCUAUUCACCUGAAAUUUCUUCUGACAUAAAAGGAGCUUUUGUGACUCUCUGCAGAUUGUGAAGGAUAGAGUGAAUUGAAAUGGAUAAUAUAUUCUAAGAGGCAUAAGUAGCAUUCUGAAAGGUGUGCACAUACUGCAAAUAAUAAAGAAUAUGAGGUCUUCCCACGAAGAUGUCAGCCCCACACAAUUCUUAAUCCAUUUAAUCAGUAAUGGAAAUGGUCCCAGUGCAAGGAGGAGGAUCUGUUUAAUUUUGACUGCGAUUUUUGGCACUGUUACUCUAAUGUGAGCUUAGCUUACCUCUUGACCCAACCCCAGGAGUGCUUGUUCUCAUCAGCUGGAGAAAAAAAUAAACACAAAGAACAUCUACAUGUUGGGAGUACCAAAUACAAGUGCAGCUUAAAGUAAAUGCAGUUCUGACAAAAGUGGCUCAAGUAUCAUAUAUCAAACACUUGUUACCUCUCUUGGCCUUAGUGAUUGCACGUGACUAAGAAAGAGUGAGUGAUAAAAUCUGAAGAAAGAUGAAACCAAUCUGGACCUUUUUAAAGACCAUCAAUCAUUCUGCGCAGCCAUGAUAUUAUUAGUUCCAGUAAGCCUUGUUCUCCCAUUUUAUGGACAUCAUAAACCCCCCACCCCUAGACCAAUGCUACCAUGGGAAAUCAUUUUUAUGGGCAGCAUCUUAGUGUGGACCAAUCAGAUCUAAUCACAUAACAAGCUACUGAAUUAUUCAACGUUCUCCCCAAUUUUGCAUUCUUCCUGCACUUUGCUGUCACUGCAGGGUUUUAAAAGUCUGUGUUUUUACAAUAUUUAUUAAGAAGAUAACCACACACAGGAAUUUUGCUUUCUCAAUAUUUUUCAAUGAUCAUUUAUUCCUUUAGAAUGUUACAGUAUAGACAUUACUAUAUAGAGAAUAUUCCUUCUAAAAAGAAUAGCAAUCCACAAUGUGGCACUCAGCUCUAAACUCUUCCAGCUUUUAAAAUACUGAAUAUCAGGAUAACAAUAGUGAAACGAUUGUGUUCAAACAUAAAAUAUUCACAUUUACUGAGCAAACUGUAACCAGCAUGUCUCUUAGCUGUUGCUAUGAAUACAGGGCUCACAUUGUAUAUGAAAAUAUUUCAGUUUUAAUUGCAAAUCUGUGCAGAGAUGAUUUGGGGUCUGUAAUUAGCACAUAAAUUCCAGACUUUGUGACUGCUAUGAAAACACACAUUAUUUAUGGAACGAUUAACUAAACAUAAUUCAGUGUUUUUUGCUUUCAACAACUACUGUAUAAGUCUGAUUUAAUAAAAUGAGAAAAAAUUCCCUUCUCUUACA
Molecule: long non-coding RNA, 3648 nt
Organism: Dromaius novaehollandiae (emu)
Lineage: Eukaryota; Metazoa; Chordata; Aves; Casuariiformes; Dromaiidae
Exons: 5
Source: RefSeq, a predicted model, not a curated record